UGAGGAACAUGACCUUCGGCGGGGGAUAGCCGGCCCAACGGCCGGGUAAUACCGCGUACGACCACAUGGGGACAUCCCUGAGUGGUGAAAGCAGCAAUGCGCCGAUGGAGUGCCUCGCGGCCUAUCAGCUAGUUGGUGAGGUAACGGCUCACCAAGGCAACGACGGGUAGCUGGUCUGAGAGGAUGGCCAGCCACAUUGGGACUGAGACACGGUCCAGACCUNUACGGGAG
This 231-nucleotide ribosomal RNA is filed under the name uncultured bacterium. RNAcentral's name for it is "partial 16S ribosomal RNA". It matches the Rfam family "Bacterial small subunit ribosomal RNA", at positions 118 to 347 of the family's 1533-position model. The record is from RNAcentral.